RNAcentral lists this ribosomal RNA (387 nucleotides) under Triticum aestivum (bread wheat). RNAcentral describes it as "partial small subunit ribosomal RNA". The record is from RNAcentral. Lineage: Eukaryota; Viridiplantae; Streptophyta; Magnoliopsida; Poales; Poaceae.
AUGUCGACCAACAUGGUUGACGAUCUCAUCAUCAAAACCAUCUAUCAUCGCGCAAUGAGCGAUCUCUGGUUGUGUCCACGUCGGCAGGGUGGUACUGUUUGCGCUGGCCAAUUGGAAGGAAACGUUCCCUUCGUAGAAAAAAAAAGGCGUGGUCAUUUCCUUCCUCGAGAAGACAGAGAGAGGACGCACGCCACCUCCUCCCCACCUUCGCCAGAUACGACCGCCCAUUCAUCGCCGCCACCCAUCGCGUCGCCCGCCCACGACCUUCUCUCAUCUUCCACCCGCGACGGCGUCCCGUCCACCUCGAGAUGUACGGCGACGGCGUCCCGAUGGAGAACCCUGGCCGCAGCUGGUCGCCGGCGCUCCUCCGCUGCGCGCCCCAGGUGA